This 455-nucleotide long non-coding RNA is filed under the name Sorghum bicolor (sorghum). RNAcentral describes it as "long non-coding RNA (SBIC_LNC009295)". The record is from RNAcentral. Lineage: Eukaryota; Viridiplantae; Streptophyta; Magnoliopsida; Poales; Poaceae.
AUACCAUAGAUGUCAUGGUUAUUAAUAAAAUAAAUUAUAGACUUUAAAUUUUAUAAAAAAUAAAUAUAAAUAGAUAUGUAACAUCUAUUUGAUAUUUUUCUCAUGUUGCAACGCACGGGCAUAUUUUGCUAGUAAGUUUUAAAAUAUACUGUAGACAAAUGAAAGUCUGCAUUUUUUUGCUAGGGUUAAAGUGGUUAUUUUACCAUUGACUUAACAGUGUCAAGUGCCAAAAAUAGACGGAAGGCCGUAAAAGAAAGAAAAUUUUGUUUUAGGCCAUACGAGUAAGUUCAAAAUAAAAAGGGCCAUGUAAGGAAGAUCAUUUUUUUUCUAUGGCCAUAUAGGUAAAUAUCUCACUUUAUUAAGCCUAAUUAAUUCAUCAUUAGCAUAUAUAUUAUUAUAGCACUUUAUUAUCAAAAUCUGGAUUAAUUAGACUUAAAAAAUUCAUUUCACAAAGU